UUAUUUUAUAAUUUUUUUUUAUUGUUAAACAUACAUAUAAAUUUAUUUAAGUAGUUUUUUUUUAUUUGUUUUUAGUAAUUUAUUUUGAAAUGCUUAUUUUUAUUAUAGUUGAUUUUUAAUGUAUAUGAUUUUUUAUAUUAUUUUAUAAGAAUUUUGUUUAUUUUACCUUUUGUAUCAGGGUUGAUUAAAUUAUUUUAUUUUAUAAUUAUUUCUCGAAUUGGAAAGAUUUAUAUUAAUAUGAUUUUUUAUGUUUCAUAAUGAUUUUUAAUUUUAAUAUGGUAGUGAUAUUCUAAUCGUUUUUUAAGAUAUCUAGUUUUCUAAGAUUAAAUUUAAUUUUAAAUAUUUUUUAAAUUAAGUAAAUUUUUAUUUGGUUUUUAAUUUAUUUUUAUUGCUUAAGGGUUAAGCUUUAAGUAUUAUUAUAAUUUUAUUUUUUAUUUUAUUUUCUUAGGCUUGGAAUCAGCCAUAGUUUCAAUUGCGUUCUAGUUUAAUUAAUUGUUUAAUUAUUUUUUAUUUUAUUUAAUUUUUUUAUUGGAAUAUAUUCUUUAAUUUUAUUUGUUUAUUAAUAAUGAUUGAAUUAGUAUAUUGUUUUGUUUUUAAUUAAUUUUUUUUAAAUUAUUAUAAAGGAACUCGGCAAUUUUUUUAUUUAUCCGCCUGUUUAUCAAAAACAUCUCCUUUAGAUAUUAUUAAAGGUUUUGCCUGCUCACUGAUUUUUAAAGAGCCGCGGUAUUUUGACCGUGCAAAGGUAGCAUAAUCAUUAGUAUAUUAAUUGUAUACUGGAAUGAAAGGUUUGACGAGAUAAAUGCUGUCUCUAUUGUAUUGAUAUAAUUUUACUUUUUAGUUAAAAGGCUGAAAUUUUUUUUUAGGACGAUAAGACCCUAUAGAGUUUUAUUAAGAUUAUUUCAUUAAUUUGGGUUGAUUUUUAUUAGUUGAUUUUUUUAUUAAUUUUGUUGGGGUGAUGUGAAUAAUAGUUAAACUAUUCAUUUUUUGUUUUCAUUGAUUUAUGUUUUUUAUGAUCUUGUAUUAUUGAUAUUUAGAUAAAAUUACCUUAGGGAUAACAGCGCAAUUAUUUUUGAGAGUUCUUAUUUACAAAAUAGAUUGUGACCUCGAUGUUGGAUUAAGAUUACUUAUUGGGUGAAGGUGCUCAUUGGAAUUGGUCUGUUCGACCAUUAAAAUCUUACAUGAUCUGAGUUCAGACCGGCGUGAGCCAGGUUGGUUUCUAUCCAAAAAUUUUUUAUGUUUUCUAGUACGAAAGGACCGUUAAUGUUAAUUAUUUUAUUUUAUUUGAUUAUUAAU
RNAcentral lists this ribosomal RNA (1293 nucleotides) under Ergatettix dorsifera. Its description in RNAcentral is "16S ribosomal RNA". The stretch from base 1051 to 1211 matches the Rfam family "Archaeal large subunit ribosomal RNA", at positions 2542 to 2701 of the family's 2987-position model. Lineage: Eukaryota; Metazoa; Arthropoda; Insecta; Orthoptera; Tetrigidae. The record is from RNAcentral.